GGUAUUAUAUUUUAUAUAGAAAAUAUGAUUUGCACUCAUAAAGAAAGAUAUUAUCUUUAAUUCCU
Molecule: transfer RNA, 65 nt
Filed under: Sepiella inermis (spineless cuttlefish)
Lineage: Eukaryota; Metazoa; Mollusca; Cephalopoda; Sepiida; Sepiidae
Description: tRNA-Ala
Source: RNAcentral